RNAcentral lists this ribosomal RNA (253 nucleotides) under uncultured bacterium. Its description in RNAcentral is "partial 16S ribosomal RNA". It matches the Rfam family "Bacterial small subunit ribosomal RNA", at positions 524 to 776 of the family's 1533-position model. The record is from RNAcentral.
UACGUAGGCAGCAAGCGUUGUUCGGAGUUACUGGGCGUAAAGAGUGUGUAGGCGGUUCGCUAAGUUUGGUGUGAAAUCUCCCGGCUUAACUGGGAGGGUGCGCCGAAUACUGGUGGGCUAGAGUGUGGGAGAGGGAAGCGGAAUUCCUGGCGUAGCGGUGAAAUGCGUAGAGAUCGGGAGGAAGGCCGGUGGCGAAGGCGGCGCUCUGGAACAUUUCUGACGCUGAGGCUCGAAAGCGUGGGGAGCAAACAGG